AAUCCUGCCUCAGACACAUGCUGUCUGUGUGACCCUUCUCUCCCAGCAGUGAUGAUAACACUGUUAAUAAUAGCUAGCAUUAACAUUGGGUUUAAGGGUAGCAAAACAUUUUCCACAUAUUAUCUCAUUUGAUGCAGCAAGUCACAACUUCCGUUGAGUCUUAGUUUUCUAAUGCAUAAAAUGGAAAGAAGAAGAAUACCUGCCAUAUAGGACUGUGAAAAACCAAGUGAGAUCAUUCAGGAAACUCUUAAGACUUGUACACUAUAGGGAGGCAACAUGAGGCAGUGAGAAGAAUGCUGGAUUUAAAGUAUGAAGAUUUUGAGUCAGAAGCCAGAAAUGUCCAAAGUGAUUGCAGAGCCCAAACAGACCUAAAAGAUCCAGAGAAACUCCUGAUACUUGAAGAAACUGAAGAGACUGGAUCUUU
RNAcentral lists this long non-coding RNA (424 nucleotides) under Monodelphis domestica (gray short-tailed opossum). RNAcentral's name for it is "lncRNA (ENSMODG00000050019.1)". Lineage: Eukaryota; Metazoa; Chordata; Mammalia; Didelphimorphia; Didelphidae. The record is from RNAcentral.